UCCCUGGUGGUCCAGUGGUUAAGACUUUGCCUUCCAAGGCAGGGGUGUGGGUUCAAUCCACACCCCUGGAG
Molecule: transfer RNA, 71 nt
Organism: Ovis aries (sheep)
Lineage: Eukaryota; Metazoa; Chordata; Mammalia; Artiodactyla; Bovidae
Rfam family: tRNA
About the family: Transfer RNA (tRNA) molecules are approximately 80 nucleotides in length. Their secondary structure includes four short double-helical elements and three loops (D, anti-codon, and T loops). Further hydrogen bonds mediate the characteristic L-shaped molecular structure. tRNAs have two regions of fundamental functional importance: the anti-codon, which is responsible for specific mRNA codon recognition, and the 3' end, to which the tRNAs corresponding amino acid is attached (by aminoacyl-tRNA synthetases). tRNAs cope with the degeneracy of the genetic code in two manners: having more than one tRNA (with a specific anti-codon) for a particular amino acid; and 'wobble' base-pairing, i.e. permitting non-standard base-pairing at the 3rd anti-codon position.
Source: Rfam